This 240-nucleotide ribosomal RNA is filed under the name Nosema bombycis. RNAcentral describes it as "partial 16S small subunit ribosomal RNA". It matches the Rfam family "Microsporidia small subunit ribosomal RNA", at positions 380 to 675 of the family's 1311-position model. The record is from RNAcentral. Lineage: Eukaryota; Fungi; Microsporidia; Nosematidae.
GCCAAACCGAGUCCCACCACCCCCGGUAAUACUUGUCCCGAUAUUUUGUUUGUUGAUUGAUCCAGUUAAAAAGCCUGUAGUUUAUUUAUAAUAAGCAUUGUAAGGUAUACUGUAUGGUUAGGAGAGAGAUGAAAUGUGAUAACCCUAACUGGAUGAACAGAAGCGAAAGCUGUAUACUUAAAUGUAUUAUUAGAACAAGGACGUAAGCUAGAGGAUCGAAGAUGAUUAGAUACCAUUGUA